RNAcentral lists this ribosomal RNA (465 nucleotides) under uncultured bacterium. Its description in RNAcentral is "bacterial SSU rRNA". It matches the Rfam family "Bacterial small subunit ribosomal RNA", at positions 329 to 792 of the family's 1533-position model. The record is from RNAcentral.
UGCCAGACUCCUACGGGAGGCAGCAGUGAGGAAUAUUGGUCAAUGGGCGGGAGCCUGAACCAGCCAAGCCGCGUGAGGGAAGAAGGUACAGCGUAUCGUAAACCUCUUUUGUCAGGGAACAAAGGCGGGGACUAGUCCCCGGAUGAGGGUACCUGAAGAAAAAGCAUCGGCUAACUCCGUGCCAGCAGCCGCGGUAAUACGGAGGAUGCGAGCGUUAUCCGGAUUUAUUGGGUUUAAAGGGUGCGUAGGCGGACGCUAAAGUCAGCGGAAAAAUUGCGGGGCUCAACCGCGUCGGGCCGUUGAAACUGGGUGCCUUGAGUGGGCGAGAAGUACGCGGAAUGCGUGGUGUAGCGGUGAAAUGCAUAGAUAUCACGCAGAACCCCGAUUGCGGAGGCAGCAUACCGGUGCACAACUGACGCUCAGGCACGAAAGCGUGGGUAUCGAACAGGAUUAGAUACCCUUGUA